This 492-nucleotide ribosomal RNA is filed under the name uncultured bacterium. Its description in RNAcentral is "partial 16S ribosomal RNA". It matches the Rfam family "Bacterial small subunit ribosomal RNA", at positions 29 to 507 of the family's 1533-position model. The record is from RNAcentral.
AGUGAACGCUGGCGGUAGGCCUAACACAUGCAAGUCGAACGGCAGCACAGUAAGAGCUUGCUCUUACGGGUGGCGAGUGGCGGACGGGUGAGGAAUACAUCGGAAUCUACUUUUUCGUGGGGGAUAACGUAGGGAAACUUACGCUAAUACCGCAUACGACCUACGGGUGAAAGCAGUGGAUCUUCGGACCUUGCGCGAUUGAAUGAGCCGAUGUCGGAUUAGCUAGUUGGCGGGGUAAAGGCCCACCAAGGCGACGAUCCGUAGCUGGUCUGAGAGGAUGAUCAGCCACACUGGAACUGAGACACGGACCAGAGUCCUACGGGAGGCAGCAGUGGGGAAUAUUGGACAAUGGGCGCAAGCCUGAUCCAGCAAUACCGAGUGGGUGAAGAAGGCCUUCGGGUUGUAAAGCCCUUUUAUUGGGAAAGAAAAGCAGCAGGUUAAUACCCCGCUGUUCUGACGGUACCCAAAGAAUAAGCACCGGCUAACUUCGUG